This 253-nucleotide ribosomal RNA is filed under the name uncultured bacterium. RNAcentral's name for it is "partial 16S ribosomal RNA". It matches the Rfam family "Bacterial small subunit ribosomal RNA", at positions 524 to 776 of the family's 1533-position model. The record is from RNAcentral.
UACGAAGGGGGCUAGCGUUGCUCGGAAUUACUGGGCGUAAAGGGCGCGUAGGCGGAUAUUUAAGUCGGGGGUGAAAGCCCAGGGCUCAACCCUGGAAUUGCCUUCGAUACUGGAUAUCUUGAGUUCGGGAGAGGUGAGUGGAAUGCCGAGUGUAGAGGUGAAAUUCGUAGAUAUUCGGCGGAACACCAGUGGCGAAGACGACUCACUGGCCCGAUACUGACGCUGAGGCGCGAAAGCGUGGGGAGCAAACAGG